RNAcentral lists this ribosomal RNA (253 nucleotides) under uncultured bacterium. RNAcentral's name for it is "partial 16S ribosomal RNA". It matches the Rfam family "Bacterial small subunit ribosomal RNA", at positions 524 to 776 of the family's 1533-position model. The record is from RNAcentral.
UACGUAGGGCGCAAGCGUUAUCCGGAAUUAUUGGGCGUAAAGAGCUCGUAGGCGGUUUGUCGCGUCUGCCGUGAAAGUCCGGGGCUCAACUCCGGAUCUGCGGUGGGUACGGGCAGACUAGAGUGAUGUAGGGGAGACUGGAAUUCCUGGUUUAGCGGUGAAAUGCGCAGAUAUCAGGAGGAACACCGAUGGCGAAGGCAGGUCUCUGGGCAUUAACUGACGCUGAGGAGCGAAAGCAUGGGGAGCGAACAGG